This 83-nucleotide transfer RNA is filed under the name Schistocephalus solidus. It matches the Rfam family "tRNA". From Rfam's summary of the family: Transfer RNA (tRNA) molecules are approximately 80 nucleotides in length. The record is from Rfam by way of RNAcentral. Lineage: Eukaryota; Metazoa; Platyhelminthes; Cestoda; Diphyllobothriidea; Diphyllobothriidae.
GGCCUCGUAGCUCAGUUGGCUAGAGCGUUGGUUGUUCUAAAGCCUUCACCUUGCUGGCGUGGGUUUGAAUCCCACCAAGGUCG